UAGCCUAAUGGUUAAGGCUAUGGAUCUCCAAUCCGGAGACGGCGGGCUCGAUUCCCGU
Molecule: non-coding RNA, 58 nt
Organism: Aedes albopictus (Asian tiger mosquito)
Lineage: Eukaryota; Metazoa; Arthropoda; Insecta; Diptera; Culicidae
Source: Rfam